Long non-coding RNA from Malus domestica (apple), 1334 nucleotides. RefSeq lists it as uncharacterized. Lineage: Eukaryota; Viridiplantae; Streptophyta; Magnoliopsida; Rosales; Rosaceae. The record is from RefSeq and is a predicted model, not a curated record.
GCUCGAGAGCUUUGCUAGAAUCUUGAACAAAGAUUUGGUGGAGUCUCUCGCUCACAUAUUAAUCAACUCCGCACUAAUCUUCAAUCUAUGAAUAGCAUCAAGGAGGUUACAAAUGCUCUCACUACUGCUGGCGCACCAGCGGAUGAACAUGAUCUUCUCCUCAUUAUUCUAAGCGGUCUUCCUGAUGAAUAUGACUUGUUCAUGGAUUCUAUUCAAUUCCUCUUGGUUGACACAAGUAUUGAUGAUCUUCAUGGAUUUCUUCUCAGUAAAGAAAUGGCUCUUUCCAGAAAUAAGCACAAUCAAGAAGCAAAAUCAAAGUUCUUCUUCCCAUGAAUCGUAUCAAGCUUUCAAUUCUGUCCAGACAUCAAAUAAUCCUCCACUGCUACCUACACCAAAUGUUCCUUAGUUACAAGCAUACAACGCUUAAACUCAGCCAAACAGGAGCAAUUUUCAGAGGAACAAUUCUCAGCGCAAUUACUCGAAUCGCACCAAAUUCAAUCGCUACAACAAUAACAACCACGACGGACAUCGUGGUGGCAAUCGUGGUGGAACUUACUACAACAACAAUCGUACUUCUCCACACCUUGUUCCAUGUCAAAUCUAUGAGGAUCCAGGCCAUCUAGCAAUCAAUUGUUCAAAUCGUAUGAAUCCAAAUUUCCAAGGGCGCAUUCCACCUGCUAAGCUUGCCAUGUGUGCCAAUACUUCCACCUAUUCUUCCCCACCAUGGUUGAUGGACUCCGGUGUGAGCUCACACAUGACAAACAACGUUCAAAACUUGCAAAAUCCUUAGCCAUACACUGGUCCUGAUAAGGUCUACAUUGGAGAUGGCCAAGGAUCUUACUACAAGGAGGAUGCUUUAUAAAGGUCAUAUUCACAAUGGUCUAUAUCCCUUCUCAGUGUCUUCUCCAUCUACAAGACGGUUCUUUGCCAAUUCUGCAAUAAAAGUAUCUCCUCAAAUCUGGCAUCAGCGUUUGGGGCAUCCAACACUCAAGACUUUUCGAAAUGUUGUAUCAAAGUCUAUCUUGCCUACUACUAGUACUAUUAGUCAGUUUCAUUGUUUAGAUUGCAUAUUAGGUAAAUGUGUUAGAUUACCUUUUCAUGAUUCUCGUUGUACUACUUCUCGAGCUUUAGAACUAGUACAUGCUGAUGUUUGAGGACCAUCACCCUUACUCUCUGUGAGUAGUUAUAGAUUCUAUGUCAUUUUCAUUGAUGAUUUCAUGAAAUAUACUUGGUUUUAUCCUCUGAAGAAUAAAUCUGAUGUGUUUCAUACAUUUGCUUUGUUUCAAGCUCUUAUUGAAAACUUCUGUGGCAACAAAGUUGGCACUUUAAGAUCU